Molecule: ribosomal RNA, 468 nt
Filed under: uncultured bacterium
Lineage: Bacteria
Description: partial 16S ribosomal RNA
Rfam family: Bacterial small subunit ribosomal RNA
Source: RNAcentral
GACGAACACUGGCGGCGUGCUUAACACAUGCAAGUCGAACGGAAAGGCCCUGCUUUUGUGGGGUGCUCGAGUGGCGAACGGGUGAGUAACACGUGAGUAACCUGCCCUUGACUUUGGGAUAACUUCAGGAAACUGGGGCUAAUACCGGAUAGGAGCUCCUGCUGCAUGGUGGGGGUUGGAAAGUUUCGGCGGUUGGGGAUGGACUCGCGGCUUAUCAGCUUGUUGGUGGGGUAGUGGCUUACCAAGGCUUUGACGGGUAGCCGGCCUGAGAGGGUGACCGGCGACAUUGGGACUGAGAUACGGACCAGACUGCUACGGGAGGCAGCAGUGGGGAAUAUUGCACAAUGGGCGGAAGCCUGAGACAGAAGCGCCGCGUGCGGGAUGACGGCCUUCGGGUUGUGAACAGCUUUCGCCUGUGACGAAGCGUGAGUGACGGUAAUGGGUAAAGAAGCACCGGCUAACUACGUG